Molecule: ribosomal RNA, 495 nt
Filed under: Centipeda artemidis
Lineage: Bacteria; Bacillati; Bacillota; Negativicutes; Selenomonadales; Selenomonadaceae
Description: bacterial SSU rRNA
Rfam family: Bacterial small subunit ribosomal RNA
Source: RNAcentral
GACGAACGCUGGCGGCGUGCUUAACACAUGCAAGUCGAACGGAGCGAAUGAAAGCUUGCUUUUAUGAGCUUAGUGGCAAACGGGUGAGUAACACGUAGACAACCUGCCGAUCAGAUGGGGACAACAUUCCGAAAGGAAUGCUAAUACCGAAUGGCGUGUAGGGGAGGCAUCUUCCCUACAUGAAAGAUGGCCUCUAUAUAUAAGCUAUCACUGAUCGAUGGGUCUGCGUCUGAUUAGCUAGUAGGUAAGGUAACGGCUUACCUAGGCGACGAUCAGUAGCCGGUCUGAGAGGAUGAACGGCCACAUUGGGACUGAGACACGGCCCAGACUCCUACGGGAGGCAGCAGUGGGGAAUCUUCCGCAAUGGGCGCAAGCCUGACGGAGCAACGCCGCGUGAGUGAAGAAGGUCUUCGGAUCGUAAAGCUCUGUUGAAGGGGACGAACGAUCGAGGGGCGAACAGGCUCUCGGUAUGACGUACCUUUGAGAAGCCACGCA